RNAcentral lists this ribosomal RNA (253 nucleotides) under uncultured bacterium. Its description in RNAcentral is "partial 16S ribosomal RNA". It matches the Rfam family "Bacterial small subunit ribosomal RNA", at positions 524 to 776 of the family's 1533-position model. The record is from RNAcentral.
UACAGAGGUCCCGAGCGUUGUUCGGAUUCACUGGGCGUAAAGGGUGCGUAGGUGGCCAUGAAAGUCUGAUGUGAAAUCCCCGAGCUCAACUCGGGAACUGCGUCCGAUACUGACAGGCUUGAAUCCGGGAGAGGGAUGCGGAAUUCCAGGUGUAGCGGUGAAAUGCGUAGAUAUCUGGAGGAACACCGGUGGCGAAGGCGGCAUCCUGGACCGGCAUUGACGCUGAGGCGCGAAAGCUAGGGGAGCAAACGGG